GAUGAACGCUGGCGGCGUGCCUAACACAUGCAAGUCGAACGGAGUCCGGCCUUUAAGACCUUCGGGUCGAGGAGGGGAAGUCUGAGUGGCGGACGGGUGAGUAACACGUGGGCAACCUGGCUCAUAGAGGGGGAGAACAUAGAGAAAUUUCUGCUAAUACCGCAUAAGCACACCCUGCCGCAUGGCAGAGGGUGAAAAGAGAAUCUCUAUGAGAUGGACCCGCGUCGGAUUGGCCAGUUGGCAGGGUAAGAGCCUACCAAAGCGACGAUCAGUACCCGAUCUGAGAGGAUGAACGGACACAUUGGGACUGAGACACGGCCGAAACUCCUACGGGAGGGAGCAGUGGGGGAUAUUGCACAAUGGGGGGAACCAUGAUGCAGCGACGCCGCGUGAGUGAAGAAGUAUUUCGGUAUGUAAAGCUCUAUCAGCAGGGAAGAUAAUGACAGUACCUGAAGAAGAAGCCCCGGCUAACUACGUG
RNAcentral lists this ribosomal RNA (478 nucleotides) under uncultured bacterium. RNAcentral describes it as "partial 16S ribosomal RNA". It matches the Rfam family "Bacterial small subunit ribosomal RNA", at positions 28 to 507 of the family's 1533-position model. The record is from RNAcentral.